GCUUUAUAUCAACAGGUGUUGAUGGAUCACAUAAAAGAGAGACAGAAACAGAUUGAAAGGUGUGUGUGUGUGUGAGCGUGAGAGAGAGAGAAAGAGAAAGACAAGCAGAGAGUGAGAGAGAGAGCUCCCAUCUGCUCAGCAUUAACCACUGUUCUUCACGGGUCAAGGUUUUGCUCUUUUUAAAUGUAUGUUUGUACAGGUCACCCUUAUAUAAGGCUUGUACCCCCACACCAGCUUCGGCUUCCGCUCUUAAUGAGAUCCAAUUGGAGAAGGGCUCCUCUCGUGGCUUUUGAUGGCUGUCACAUGUGGAAGUGAUUGUCGAAUCUCGUGCUGCCGACAGUAAGCGUGAGGACCAGAAAGCCCCGGGCGUGUCUCAGCAGCUCCAGCGUAAGCCAUCCAAGAGAGAGCAGUUUGUAACAGAGGCCUCACAGGGGCAGAGUCAC
Cyprinus carpio carpio is the source of this 443-nucleotide long non-coding RNA. The record is from Ensembl. NCBI's taxonomy places the organism in Eukaryota, Metazoa, Chordata, Actinopteri, Cypriniformes, Cyprinidae.